UACGGAGGAUCCGAGCGUUAUCCGGAUUUAUUGGGUUUAAAGGGAGCGUAGGCGGAUGUUUAAGUCAGUUGUGAAAGUUUAAGGCUCAUCCUUGAAAUUGCAGUUGAUACUGGAUAUCUUGAGUACAUUGAAUGUGGGCGGAAUUCGUGGUGUAGCGGUGAAAUGCUUAGAUAUCACGAAGAACUCCAAUUGCGAAGGCAGCUCACAGUAAUGUAACUGACGCUGAUGCUCGAAAGUGUGGGUAUCAAACAGGAUUAGAUACCCUGGUAGUCCACACAGUAAACGAUGAAUACUCGCUGUUUGCGAUAUACAGUAAGCGGCCAAGCGAAAGCGUUAAGUAUUCCACCUGGGGAGUACGCCGGCAACGGUGAA
This 372-nucleotide ribosomal RNA is filed under the name uncultured bacterium. Its description in RNAcentral is "bacterial SSU rRNA". It matches the Rfam family "Bacterial small subunit ribosomal RNA", at positions 524 to 898 of the family's 1533-position model. The record is from RNAcentral.